This 468-nucleotide ribosomal RNA is filed under the name uncultured bacterium. RNAcentral's name for it is "partial 16S ribosomal RNA". It matches the Rfam family "Bacterial small subunit ribosomal RNA", at positions 28 to 507 of the family's 1533-position model. The record is from RNAcentral.
GACGAACGCUGGCGGCGUGCUUAACACAUGCAAGUCGAACGGAAAGGCCCUGCUUUUGUGGGGUGCUCGAGUGGCGAACGGGUGAGUAACACGUGGGUAACCUGCCCUUGACUUUGGGAUAACUUCAGGAAACUGGGGCUAAUACCGGAUAGGAGCUCCUGCUGCAUGGUGGGGGUUGGAAAGUUUCGGCGGUUGGGGAUGGACUCGCGGCUUAUCAGCUUGUUGGUGGGGUAGUGGCUUACCAAGGCUUUGACGGGUAGCCGGCCUGAGAGGGUGACCGGCCACAUUGGGACUGAGAUACGGCCCAGACUCCUACGGGAGGCAGCAGUGGGGAAUAUUGCACAAUGGGCGGAAGCCUGAUGCAGCAACGCCGCGUGCGGGAUGACGGCCUUCGGGUUGUAAACCGCUUUCGCCUGUGACGAAGCGUGAGUGACGGUAAUGGGUAAAGAAGCACCGGCUAACCACGUG